RNAcentral lists this transfer RNA (74 nucleotides) under Candidatus Methanoliparum thermophilum. Its description in RNAcentral is "tRNA-Met". It matches the Rfam family "tRNA". From Rfam's summary of the family: Transfer RNA (tRNA) molecules are approximately 80 nucleotides in length. RNAcentral also lists the same sequence under 1 other name. The record is from RNAcentral. Lineage: Archaea; Methanobacteriati; Methanobacteriota; Candidatus Methanoliparia; Candidatus Methanoliparales; Candidatus Methanoliparaceae.
GCCGGGGUGGCCUAGCUGGUUAGGGCGUCAGACUCAUAAUCUGAAGGUCGCGGGCUCGAAUCCCGCCCCCGGCA